RNAcentral lists this long non-coding RNA (1971 nucleotides) under Bos indicus x Bos taurus (hybrid cattle). RNAcentral describes it as "lncRNA (ENSBIXG00005030972.1)". The record is from RNAcentral. Lineage: Eukaryota; Metazoa; Chordata; Mammalia; Artiodactyla; Bovidae.
AUGGCAGAAGCUGAGUUCUCCUGCGAGGUAAGCAUUCAGCCAUCUCGAGAUGUUGGCAGCCACCCAGCGUGGCGGAGGGAAGGAGCAGUGAAUAGAGGGUCCCAGGAGAGCCCAAGUCUUCAGUUCACUCCCUGGGUGACUGUGGACAGAGCGUGCUCUCGGUUCCGGUCCUGUUUCCUCAUGUGUAAAAUGCAGAAGAGAGAGCAGACAGGCUGUUGUCUGCUGGAGAAGCAGCAGAGUGGAGUGGUCAAGAGCAUGGAUCCAACACUCACUGGCUGUGUGAACUUGGGUAAGUGAGUGCAAUGAACACACUGUCCGUGUCCUGAGUACCUGCUGAAUAUUAACUCUGUUACUACCCCUCCCAGGCCUGCCAUUUAGCACCCCCGCCCCCAUCACUAAGGGUUAAUGCCGCCGUAGCCUGAGGAUGUGACCGUCAUGUUCCUUUUCCCUCCCCAAACCGCCUCUUGCUCAGUUGGCUCAUGUUGAACUUGAAACCGACUAAAACCUCCUGAUCUUUUUUUAUGUGAAUUGCAGUCAAGCCAGGUCUCCCUCAUCCCCUUCUUGUGCAAUUGAUUUUUGGAACCUGCAUUCAAGACAUUAGAUUUAUUGAUGCUAACUUUCAUCUGGUUGCUUUUGACCUAGCAUUCUUAACUGUGGAGAUCAUCUUGAACCUUAAUUCUCUCAUCCCCUCCAGCUUUGAGUCAUCUGCAAAUUUGGUGCACAUGCUUUCCAUGUCUUCAUCCAAAUUGCUGGCUUAGAAAAGCUAUUUAUAUGGAUAAAAAUAGAGAUAGAGAUAUAGGCCGCUUUACAAGAGGGGACCGUGUGCGUAAGGCUGAGCACUGGGGUUUAUCACGCGGGCAGCAGGGGGCUCACAGCCCUGAAUCGACAUUUAAACCUUUUCUGUACGCACCCCCUCGUACGCACUUGUAUUUGCCCCUGGCUCCCGAAUGUUCUCAGUGAUGACAAGGGGAGUUCACUGCUCAGCCACCCUGACUGUGGUGUCCUCUAAACUAGCAAAUCCCCUGGGCAGAUCUGAAUCCUUUCCCGUCUGCACCAGGUGAAGCUCCAGGGCCAAGUCUUGUCCUUCCCCCUUCUCACUGUUUCUUAAACUGAGACCACCCCCACCUUGGGGCCUCGCCAAAUACCUGCUGUUAAUCCAAGAAAUCAAUUCUUGCUCGCUCAGAGGAAGAGGUCAUGGACCACAACGUCUUAAUGUGCUUCCCGCUCAGAUGUUUCCAUUGUAACAGGGGCCUUCUGUGUCUGAACCGCAAGGCCGGAGCCGGGGUGGGUGUGCAAUUAGCCACCUGUGGCCACGUGGGGCUCUGGCCUCAGUCCCAGGCCCCAAGGGCAUCCCAUGUCACAGCAGACAGCGGCCGGCACUGCUCAUAAGCAUGACUGCAAGUCACCAGGGAAAGACUUGGGGCGCUCUGUUCAAGACAGAGAAAGGAGAAAAAAAAUUCUAGGAGUAAUUUACAUCUAAAGUGGCUUAAAUUACCGAGAAAAAGAAAAAAAAAAGCCACUGAUUAUUUUUUUCCUCCAGACAAGACUCUCUGAUGUUGUGUGAGCUAGGUGGUGGCUGGUGGCAGAACUUUCUAAAGCCCCAAGCUCCCUGCAUGUCCAGACACAUCUGCAGGCACCUGGCUGAGGACCCCUAGCCCCAAGAGAGUUAGCUGGCUCAGUGCACUCAAUCCCUCUUUGAUGUCCUCAGUACCAGAGCCUUCCCAUUUUACCCGCAAUAUUCCUUUAUAGGAAAAGUUUGAUGAAGACCAUAAAGAGCAGUUGCUCUUUCCUGAGUGCCUGCCAUGUGCCAGGCAUUGUGCUAGACCUUGAAACCUCCCACCUUUAAUCUCUUCAACCUUAGGAAGCAGAUUGUUACUAUUCCCAUCUUAUGGAAGAGUAAACUGAGGCCCACAGAGAUAAACUGCCUAUGGUCACAAUAAAUAGCAAGACUGGAAUUUGAACCCUGUUCUC